CCCCGCUGGAAUGCAUAGGCGGACGCCUUGCAGCGAGGCCGAGCGUGACAGGACACAAAUUGGCCCGCUCGCCAGGUCGCCAGUCCGGCCCCGAGCCCCGAGCUGGGCAGCAACGACGACAAUGCACUCCUCGAAUCAGGUAGGGAUACCCGCUGAACUUAAGCAUAUCAAUAAGCGGAGGAAAAGAAACCAACAGGGAUUGCCCCAGUAACGGCGAGUGAAGCGGCAAGAGCUCAAAUUUUAAAUCUGGGGUCUCCGACCCCCGAGUUGUAAUUUGGAGAGGCAUCUUCGGGAGGAGCGCUGGCCAAUGUUCCUUGGAACAGGACGUCGCAGAGGGUGAGAAUCCCGUGCCAGGCCGGCUGCUCCCUUCCAUGUGAAGCGCCUUCGACGAGUCGAGUUGUUUGGGAAUGCAGCUCCAAGUGGGUGGUAAAUUUCAUCUAAAGCUAAAUACCGGCGAGAGACCGAUAGCGCACAAGUAGAGUGAUCGAAAGAUGAAAAGCACUUUGAAAAUAGAGUCAUAAAGUACGUGAAAUUGUUGAAAGGGAAGCGCUUGAGGCCAGACUCGGAGCGAGGCAAACAUCUGGCCCCGCGGGGCGGUGCACUUGCCUCGAGCCGGGCCAGCAUCAGUUGGUGUGGCGGGAGAAAGGCGCGGGGAAUGUGGCUCCCCUCGGGGAGUGUUAUUUAGCCCCUUGCUCAAUGCCGCCCGCACCGACUGAGGACCGCGCUCGG
This 729-nucleotide ribosomal RNA is filed under the name uncultured Helvellaceae. Its description in RNAcentral is "eukaryotic LSU rRNA". The stretch from base 126 to 729 matches the Rfam family "Eukaryotic large subunit ribosomal RNA", at positions 1 to 609 of the family's 3401-position model. Lineage: Eukaryota; Fungi; Ascomycota; Pezizomycetes; Pezizales; Helvellaceae. The record is from RNAcentral.